RNAcentral lists this ribosomal RNA (253 nucleotides) under uncultured bacterium. Its description in RNAcentral is "partial 16S ribosomal RNA". It matches the Rfam family "Bacterial small subunit ribosomal RNA", at positions 524 to 776 of the family's 1533-position model. The record is from RNAcentral.
GACGUAGGGGGCCAGCGUUGUUCGGAAUUAUUGGGCGUAAAGGGUGUGUAGGCGGCGCCGUAAGUCAGGUGUGAAAUCUCGGGGCUUAACUCCGAAACUGCAUUUGAUACUGCGGUGCUUGAGGACUGGAGAGGAGACUGGAAUUUACGGUGUAGCGGUGAAAUGCGUAGAUAUCGUAAGGAAGACCAGUGGCGAAGGCGGGUCUCUGGACAGUUCCUGACGCUGAGACACGAAGGCCAGGGGAGCAAACGGG